This 157-nucleotide ribosomal RNA is filed under the name Paratylenchus dianthus. Its description in RNAcentral is "5.8S ribosomal RNA". It matches the Rfam family "5.8S ribosomal RNA". From Rfam's summary of the family: 5.8S ribosomal RNA (5.8S rRNA) is a component of the large subunit of the eukaryotic ribosome. It is transcribed by RNA polymerase I as part of the 45S precursor that also contains 18S and 28S rRNA. Lineage: Eukaryota; Metazoa; Nematoda; Chromadorea; Rhabditida; Tylenchulidae. The record is from RNAcentral. RNAcentral also lists the same sequence under 1 other name.
UUAGUCUUGCCGGUGGAUCACUCGGCUCGUAGGUCGAUGAAGAUCGCAUCCAAAUGCGAUAGUUAGUGUGAACUGCAGAUAUUCUGAGCACUAAAACGUCGAAUGCACAUUGCGCCUUGGGACCUCCAUCCCUCGGCACGCCUGGUUCAGGGUCGUU